RNAcentral lists this ribosomal RNA (433 nucleotides) under uncultured bacterium. Its description in RNAcentral is "partial 16S ribosomal RNA". It matches the Rfam family "Bacterial small subunit ribosomal RNA", at positions 29 to 507 of the family's 1533-position model. The record is from RNAcentral.
AGCGAACGCUGGCGGCAGGCCUAACACAUGCAAGUCGAACGAACUCUUCGGAGUUAGUGGCGGACGGGUGAGUAACACGUGGGAACGUGCCUUUAGGUUCGGAAUAACUCAGGGAAACUUGUGCUAAUACCGAAUGUGCCCUUCGGGGGAAAGAUUUAUCGCCUUUAGAGCGGCCCGCGUCUGAUUAGCUAGUUGGUGAGGUAAAGGCUCACCAAGGCGACGAUCAGUAGCUGGUCUGAGAGGAUGAUCAGCCACAUUGGGACUGAGACACGGCCCAAACUCCUACGGGAGGCAGCAGUGGGGAAUCUUGCGCAAUGGGCGAAAGCCUGACGCAGCCAUGCCGCGUGAAUGAUGAAGGUCUUAGGAUUGUAAAAUUCUUUCACCGGGGACGAUAAUGACGGUACCCGAAGAAGAAGCCCCGGCUAACUUCGUG